RNAcentral lists this ribosomal RNA (253 nucleotides) under uncultured bacterium. Its description in RNAcentral is "partial 16S ribosomal RNA". It matches the Rfam family "Bacterial small subunit ribosomal RNA", at positions 524 to 776 of the family's 1533-position model. The record is from RNAcentral.
UACGUAGGGACCAAGCGUUGUUCGGAUUUACUGGGCGUAAAGGGCGCGUAGGCGGCAAUUCAAGUCAGCUGUGAAAUCUCCGAGCUUAACUCGGAACGGUCAGCUGAUACUGUUUUGCUAGAGUGCAGAAAGGGCAACCGGAAUUCUUGGUGUAGCGGUGAAAUGCGUAGAUAUCAAGAGGAACACCUGAGGCGAAGGCGGGUUGCUAGGCUGACACUGACGCUGAGGCGCGAAAGCUAGGGUAGCAAACGGG